UACCCUCCAGGUACAUGGGAAAGGUCUGC
This 29-nucleotide non-coding RNA is filed under the name Rattus norvegicus (Norway rat). Lineage: Eukaryota; Metazoa; Chordata; Mammalia; Rodentia; Muridae. The record is from RNAcentral.